RNAcentral lists this ribosomal RNA (468 nucleotides) under uncultured bacterium. RNAcentral's name for it is "partial 16S ribosomal RNA". It matches the Rfam family "Bacterial small subunit ribosomal RNA", at positions 28 to 507 of the family's 1533-position model. The record is from RNAcentral.
GACGAACGCUGGCGGCGUGCUUAACACAUGCAAGUCGAACGGAAGGGCCCUGCGUUUGCGGGGUUGUCGAUAGGCGAACGGGUGAGUAACACGUGUGUAUCCUGCCCUUGUAUUUGUGAUAACUUCACGAAACACGGGCUAAUACCGGAUAGGAGCUCCUGCUGCGUGGUGGGGGUUGGAAAAUUUCGGUGGUUCGGGAUGGUCUGGAGGCUUAUCCGCUUCUUGGUGUGGUAGUGGAUGCCCAAGGCUUUGACGGGUAGGCGGCCUGGGAGGGGGACCGGCGACAUUGGGACUGAGAGACGGCCCAGACUGCUACGGGCGGCAGCAGUGGGGAAUAUGGCAGAACGGGCGGAAGCCUGAGGCAGCAGCGCCGCGUGCGGGAUGACGGCCUACGGGUUGUAAACCGCUUUGGACGGUGACGAAGCGUGAGUGACGGUAAUGGGUAAAGAAGCACCGGCUAACUACGUG